This 254-nucleotide ribosomal RNA is filed under the name uncultured bacterium. RNAcentral describes it as "partial 16S ribosomal RNA". It matches the Rfam family "Bacterial small subunit ribosomal RNA", at positions 524 to 776 of the family's 1533-position model. The record is from RNAcentral.
CACGUAGGGUGCGAGCGUUGUCCGGAAUUAUUGGGCGUAAAGAGCUCGUAGGCGGUGUGUCGCGUCGGCCGUGAAAACCUGCAGCUUAACUGUGGGCUUGCGGUCGAUACGGGCAUCACUGGAGUUCGGCAGGGGAGACUGGAAUUCCUGGUGUAGCGGUGAAAUGCGCAGAUAUCAGGAGGAACACCGGUGGCGAAGGCAGAUCUCUGGGCCGUAACUGACGCUGAGGAGCGAAAGCAUGGGGAGCGAACAGG